This 256-nucleotide ribosomal RNA is filed under the name uncultured bacterium. RNAcentral's name for it is "partial 16S ribosomal RNA". It matches the Rfam family "Bacterial small subunit ribosomal RNA", at positions 521 to 776 of the family's 1533-position model. The record is from RNAcentral.
UAAUACAGAGGGUGCAAGCGUUGUUCGGAAUUACUGGGCGUAAAGCGCGUGUAGGCGGCGUCGUUAGUCGGAUGUGAAAGCCCUCGGCUCAACCGAGGAAGUGCAUCCGAUACUGCGAUGCUUGAGUGUUGGAGGGGGUGGCGGAAUUCCCGGUGUAGAGGUGAAAUUCGUAGAUAUCGGGAGGAACACCUGUGGCGAAGGCGGCCACCUGGACAACAACUGACGCUGAGACGCGAAAGCGUGGGUAGCAAACAGG